RNAcentral lists this ribosomal RNA (560 nucleotides) under Phascolosoma esculenta. RNAcentral's name for it is "partial 16S ribosomal RNA". It matches the Rfam family "Bacterial large subunit ribosomal RNA", at positions 1837 to 2620 of the family's 2925-position model. The record is from RNAcentral. Lineage: Eukaryota; Metazoa; Annelida; Sipuncula; Phascolosomatiformes; Phascolosomatidae.
AUUCCCGCAUUUGGAGGCAUUGCCUGCCCAGUGACAACUGUUUAACGGCCGCGGUAUCCUGACCGUGCAAAGGUAGCAUAAUCAUUUGUUCUCUAAAUAAGGACUUGUAUGAAUGGCCGCACGAGGGUUUUACUGUCUCUUACUUCCAAUCAGUGAAAUUGACCUUCCCGUGAAGAGGCGGGAAUGCACAAAUAAGACGAGAAGACCCUAUGGAGCUUUAACUAACCAACCCAAAGAGAAUAGAUUUAACCAUUAAGGAAUAACAACAAUCUCCAUGAGUUGGUAGUUUCGGUUGGGGUGACCUCGGAGAAUAAAAAAUCCUCCGAGCGAUUUUAAAGACUAGACCCACAAGUCAAAUCACUCUAUCGCUCAUUGAUCCAAAAACUUGAUCAACGGAACAAGUUACCCUAGGGAUAACAGCGCAAUCCUAUUCAAGAGUCCAUAUCGACAAUAGGGUUUACGACCUCGAUGUUGGAUCAGGACAUCCUGAUGGUGCAACCGCUAUCAAAGGUUCGUUUGUUCAACGAUUAAAGUCCUACGUGAUCUGAGUUCAGACCGGA